GUCUCUCGUCAUCGUCACAGACUGUAACGGGGGUCAGGGGAGCUGCUGAAGGAAACGGCCGAUUUCGUGAAAUGAGGAGCCUGCUUCUCCGAGGGGUCUGGCUAGUUUGUCCUCUUGUUUUUAGCUGGACUCGUAAAGCUCCCCCUUCCUUAUUUCUUCCUUCACUGAUCAUGUUCCUCAGUUGCACCCUGCGUCUGUAACUUGUGGCUUGGUGAGAUCUGGCAGCCAGCGGGGAGGCCAGAGAAGGGAGGAUCUCGGCCUGUGUCAAAGAGGCCACAAAACCGGCAGAGCAGGGCUGAUGUCAUUAAGCAGGGUUUUUAAGGUGGAAUGAUGUUUGAGUUGUAGUGGAUGCAUCUCUGCGGACGAAUUCUCGAGUCUGGGGCCGGUUUGCGUGUGUCCGUUUGCAUCUGGAGAGCGCGGUGCUGAGUGCGGCCCGGCUGAAUUCUGUGCAUCAGUUAUUCCCUGCCUGUGUGGCCAUGACGACGCUCCUUCCUGGAAGAGUGGAGGGGCUGGGUUUCCUGGGGUGGGGAGCGCAUUCAGUGCCCUUCUGCAGAUGCCCCCGCGAGGGACAGAGGGAGGGUGCAGCCCGACGGGGAGCUGCUUCUAGUCACCAGUCUGCUCAGCGCUGGCCGCGGCCCUGGGCCUAUGUGAGGCGCCGCGCACUGUGCCAGGUCAUUUCGGAAACGCCGCCGUGUAAUUGCAGCUGUGCAGAGACAGGUUUAUUUUAGACUCUGGAAGUGGAAAGCACGCCCUUUCGUCUAAAAUCUGUGCUUGCUUUUACUAUUAGGAAAGAACUUUUUUAUAUUUAAUAAAAUGCACUUAAAAUGUUUUAAAUGAGAUGAAACCUAAAAAAUCCAGCUUUCAGAAUGAUGUUCCCUAUCUUCGGCAAUCUGGUUUUAAAAGUUUAAAUUUGGAAGUGAGACUUUUUAUAUAAUGGAAUAUGUUUGUGAAAAAUUAUAUCUCUGUGUUUGUAACUGUGCAUAUGUGGUAUGUGCACGUGUGUACAUGUAUGUAUGGGUGUGUGGUGUGUAUACAUGUGCGGGUGUGUGUCUGUGGUGUGUAUACAUGUAUGAGGAUGUGUGUGUGGUGUGUGUGUGGCAUAUAUACAUGUAUGGGAUGUAUUUGUGGUGUGUAUAUGUGUGUAUGUGGUGUGUUUGCAUGUAUGGUGAUGUGGGGGUGUAUACAUGUGUGUUCACGCAUGUGUGCAUGUGUGUUUGUGGUGUGUAUACCUGUAUAGGGGUGUGGGUGGGUGGGUGUGUGUGUGUGUGUGUGUGUGGUUUCUCUUGCCCUGCAGACGUCAUCCGUGGCGAGUGCCCUUGAACACUGUGUGGCCUCUUCCCGCACUCAGCCCUAGCUCUGCACCUGGGUGGUUCCUACCUGUCAUUCUCUUCACUGUAGUUUGAUGUCUGUAUUAAUCUAAUUAUCAUAUUUUAAAAUGUAAUUAUCAUAUAAUUAUAAAUAAAAUUCAAUAUUACAUUUCUGCAGCCUUUGAUACUUGGAAAACAGAGUCCUUGCUACUAAAGAAUUUAUUAAAUAUUAAAUAAUUUAUUGAAUGCAUCCUAAAUUAUGCUUGAGCACAAUUCAUAUAUAACCAAAUACAAACUGUAAGUCAGGCAAUUUUGUAAUUAUACUAAUUAUCCACAGUGAUUUAGGAUAAGUGCAGUGUAGAUCAUUGUUAGCUGUGUGUGCAACCUCACUGUAUGAUCUCAUAAUUGCAUUGAGGCACUUAACAAAACACCAGUGUCUAGAAAUGUUCACGUAAAGGGCUAGCUUGUAUGUUGUUUUCGAAUGUGUGGUAGGAAUUUACCUCUUUUAGGAAUGAGUUUGAGGAAUGUCCUGUGAGCACAGCCCAGGCUCACUCUCUGCCCUCUCACAGCAGGCCUGGGCUCCAGCUGCACUGCUGCCUCCCCCUGCCACCUCUGUGCCAGCACGGGAACUCUUCCUCCCUUCUGCCCCGUCCGGCCCUGGUCCUGUGUGAGGUCGCCCCUUCUCUUCUCCUCCAGGGGAACGAGGGGAGAGUCAUUUAGGUUGAGACUCCCCGGUUGUCCUGCAGAUAGGCAGGGGGAGCACAGCAGACACAGUGCUAGAGGACAUGGGUUCAGAGAGGAGAGUCCGCCGCUGAGCCUGGACUUCACCAUCCCGGGGUCAGGAAGGUGAGGCUGAUAAGGAAAGCCCGAGAGCCGGGAGGAUAGACGUGUCCAAAGUGAGGUGUUAGGAAACGUCCCACCAAGGAGAGAGCAUGGGGCCAUCAGACACCCGGGAGUCUAAGAGAGAUGGAGACUGAGGACUGGCAUUGCGGGUGCACCGGGAGGUCACAGCUGCAGGGACAGAGCCACCUCAGUGGUGAAAACCCAAUCAGUGUUUUGUUGGCGAGGAAAUGGCAGGAGGAGAUUGGAUUGGUGUGUAUGGAAGUCUGUUUUGAGAAGUUUUGCUGUAAAGAGGAGCUGAGACUCAGAGUGGUAGCUGGUGAAAGCAUGGAUCCAAACAGUGUUGUUUGGUAUGGACACGUGAGUGUGAAUAGCACGUUGUCGGCUGAGGCAAAUGGUAGGAUGUGAGGGUACAGAGAUGUCUCUGAUUUUAAUUUAGUAACGUUUAAUUUCAUGCUUGCUAGAGUUGCGACUUUGUUUUGAAAAGGAGGAAAGCACGUUUGUCUCAACCUCAGGCAACGGGGGCUAGACAUUACUACUGGCCCCAGGACUCUCCCCGAGGCCAGUUUACACCUUCGUUUAAGGCUGAGGCCCCUCUGACAGGUGGGUCUCCAUGUGUCUGCUGACCAGGGAGAGCAAGGCCACACUGCACAGAAGGCCGCUGCCUUCACCUGCACCUGCAAAGCUGCAGGUCACAGUUCAGCAAAUCCCACCAAGACUUGGAGGUGUACCAGCAGUACUGUCUGAUCUGUGAGUGUCUGACUAUCCUGUCACAGCCAGGGACACAGAUGAAGAUGCCAUUCUAGGUGAUGUGGGGACACCCCUGAGCCUUGGGUUUUGGAAUGCAUGCCUAGGAGCUAGGGCAAGAAGAGACAAGGGCCUGAACUGACUUCUCAUCACCUCCUGCAGAUAUUUCAGGCAGAUGCACCAGCCAGACUCCCUAUGCUGUAUUUUUGCUGUCAGACCAAGAAGAAAAUAUUCGUAAAAGUCACGGCAGGAUGGGACCCUCCGGCCUGAAAAGUACUGUAGCCUCCAAGAGCCCAAGAGCGGCUACUCCCACGAACUGCCACAUGCUGAAUGCCUAAAACAACAGGAAUUUAUUUUCUUAGGGACCUGGAGGCCAGAAGUCUGACAUCAAGGUGUGGGCAGGGUCAUGUUCCCCUGCCUGAGGCGGAGGCUCUGUGGGAGAACCCCUGCUGCCCCUCAGGGCUUCUGGAGGCUCCUGCCACGUUUUGUGCCUUGAGGCUGUGUCCCUUCUCUCCAGUUUCUGCCCCUGCCUUCUCCCUGCCUCUUCUCUUCUUUGUGUAGCUCUCUGUCUUCUCUCCUUAGGACACUAGUCAUUGGAUCAGGGCAUACCUGGAUAACCGGGUCUGGUGAGGCAGGAAUUCCUGCCCUGGGGCCAUGGAAAUGGCCGCACACUUGACAUCUGACACUGGCCAGUAUGAAGAAGGCAGGUGCCCUGUGUCCCGUGGGAGGAUGUGACAGGCUACGUGAAUAAUUCCGCCAGCUGUCAGGGAACCAAGGCCUGUGAUGCAAGGUGAGCACCACUGCGCCAGGCCCUGUGACAAGGAGGGUGGGUGGCCUGGGCCUUGUCCAUCGGAGCAGGGGAGUGUCCACACAUAGACUCAGGCCUUGAUUUUAGGCCUUGUAGCCCAUGCAGACUGAUCUCAUCUGGAGAUCCUUAACUUCAUUAAAUCUGCAAAGACUCUGUUUCCAAAUAAGGACAUCUUCAAGGCGCUAGGGGCUAGGACUUGGGCAUAUUAUUUUUGGGGGAAAAGGGACACAACCCACUGCAGGGAUCAUUAAUGAUUUGAAUAUAAAAGGUGGAUUUGUAAAGUUUUAUUCAAAAAAAAUUUUUUUAUCCUACUGAUCUUUUGUAUUAUUAUAAAAACCAGUUUGUUUUAGAGAAAUAAAGAAGCACAAAAAAACUGUUUAAUAAUGGCAACUUUACCCAAUGCUAAUGAUUUACAAUAUCUCUAGAACAUUUUAAUCUGCAUGUGAUUAUUAUCAUACGCAUGCAUCAUACCAGAAUAAUGUUUCCCAAUUUUUUUGUAUGUAAGAAGGUUAUGGGCCUGUGACAACAUUAAAAACUGAGCAUCUGGUGUGCCCUGAAGGUUGGUGGCCCCAACAGUCAUACGUUGGUACCUAGCACCCAACGUGACAAUGUUAAGAGGUGGGUCUUUGGGGUGCAGUUAAGUCCACAGGCCCCUCCUUCAUGGAUGGGUCCUGCCCUCAUUAAAGGGGCUGGGGGUUCCCUCGCCCCUUCUGCUGGACGUGGACGCAGCUGGAAGGCACUGUCCCUGAGGGAUGCCCGGGGCCCUCACCAAAGCCACCUCUUCCCAGCCUGCAGAACCGGUAGGAAGGGUUUUCUGUGGUUUAUAGCACCCAGGCUACAGUAUUUGUUUAUUGAGGCCCCAGCACUCGAAGACGCAUCCCGGAGGCCAGGUGGCCAUGCGUGGCCAGGGUCUCUGCUGUGGGCGAGAACCCGGCCUUAGGAGCCCCGUAGGUGUGGCCUGGAGGGCCCGGGCUCCCUCGCCAAGGCCGUUCCUUGCCUGGGCUCGGAGGGUGGGAACCUGCCUGCUCCUCCCGCUCCCCUCCAGGCGCCGCGUGGACAUAGGCUGUGGAAGUCCCCGGAGACCCCUGCCCCAUCCCCUGCCCCGCGGGGUGUCAGCGGUGGCCUCCCAGGCAGCAGGAGCGCGCAAGUGGGAAGCGGGGAUCCCAGCCCACGUGCGUGGGGUGCUCCCAGCUGCCCCGGGACCUGUCCCCAGGGCGACCCUGGGAGGAGAAGGCCCCAUCCCAGCGCCUGCCUGGAAGGAGGAACCCGGCCCAAGAGGAGCUGCCCGGGGCGCGCCCAGGCUCCCCUCCCCAGGCCUCCCGGCUCGCCUCCCCUCCCCUCCCCUCCUCCUGCGGUGUUUGCCUCCAGCCUUCCCUAGAUUCCCACGCCGGCCUCACCCUACAGCGCUGCGCGACUGCUUUGCAGAAGCCAGAUGAUUCUGCCUGUGCAGGAAUGAAGUGCGACCCGGCGCGCGAGGGAGGGAGGCCUCUGCGCUUUGGCUCCGGCCGCGCCUCCUCCCUGGGAUCCGGUCUAGGGCUGGCGAGCUCCGCGGAUCCCUGCUCAGAGCGGGGCUGCUGCACCACCUGCCGCGGGUGGCCAAAGCAGAAAAAAAAGAAAAAAAUGGGAGUGGGGAAUACAAACGUCUUAUUUUCUUUUAAAG
Molecule: long non-coding RNA, 5362 nt
Organism: Homo sapiens (human)
Lineage: Eukaryota; Metazoa; Chordata; Mammalia; Primates; Hominidae
Exons: 2
Source: RefSeq, a predicted model, not a curated record